GUCCUUUGAAAUAAUGUCCUUUUGUGACUCUAUUUCAUAAAAGCUGAAUUACACAGUUCACUUGUGCCAGGAGAUGACCCUCAGAGUCUUGUUGGGUGUUAGAGCAGUCCAAGAAAAGCAGGGCUGCCCUGAUAUGCUACUGGCCCCUUCCUUCAUCCUCAGUUCACCAUGGCCUUGAAUAUUAUUCUAAAGGUUUGGGAUGAGGUUGAUUUCACUUUCAAACUCUAAUUUCAAAAGACAACAGAACAGAAAGCUAAGGAGAAUUCUGGAAUACCAUGCCACCUCUCCCCAUGUUCAUGCCUGGGGACCUUCUCUAUUGCAUCAUAUGGAAAAAUGCUGGCAAAAAGAAUUCUGUUGCUUUCUUCACUCACAUCUUUAUCCAUUCACCCUGUGUGGAGGAAGGGGAAGUUGCUAGUCCCAGAGGAAAGAACUUGAGAGAAUGAGCUUCAUCCACCACUAGUUGUACUUACUGGGUUCACAUUACCUGUCCCAGUGCCUGGGCCCAAGCAGGUGGCUGUGGGAGAUGGCAGGAGAUUUCCAAGCUUGCCAGGAGGAAGGCCAUUAUCACUGACAUUGUCUAAAAUUAUCAGCACAUGAUGAUAAUAAAAAGCAGAGGACUUCUGGUCAAUGUUAUUAAUGUCUUUAAAUUCUCUGCAGACCAUGCACUUCUCACUGGAUGCAUCACCAAGACGUAUCACCAAGAUGUACCACCUUGUCUUGGUAUAUCACUGAGGAGGGGUCUCCUAGGCUUCCCUCAGCCACCCCAAACCAUAUCCCACAUCAGUUAACUUCUCAAUCUCCCUCUCCACACUCUAGCUGACACCAUCAUCUGUUCUUUCUUCUGGACUUCUGUGAAGGUUUCCUCAUGUCCUCUCUACAUCCUCAUUGCCCAUCCAUUCCAUCCUCAUCAAAGAAACCAGAGCAAGAUUUUUAAAUGUUUCUCCCAUACCUUCCUAUUACACUUAGAAUGGAACCCAGCCUCUUAACCCUGAAAGGCCUGACCUCUUGGCUCCUGCCUCAAUCUCAAACUCCAUGCCUCCCUUUUGCCUCCUGUCUCCUAAGCUUCAGUCACAAUGGUUGUCUUGGUGUGACUGAGCUGAAAUAACAAAACACUAGACUGGUGGCUUAACCAACAGACAUUUAUUUUCUCAUAGUGCUGGAGGCUGGAAGCCAAAGAUCACAAUGGUGGCAGGUUUGGUUUCCCCCAUGACCUCUCUUCUUGGCUUGAAGAGGGCUGCCUUCUCAAGUGUCCUCACACCCUCACAUGGCCUUCCUUCCAUGCACAUGUUUGGUGUCUCUUCCUCUUCUUAUAAGGAUACCAGUCAUACUGGCUAAGAGCCCUGUCCUCAUGACCUCAUUAACUGUAAGUACCUCUUUAAAGGCUCUGUCUUCAAAUAUAGUCACAUGGAGGGGUUAAAACUUCAAUAUACCAACUGGGGAGGACACAAUUCACUCGAUAACACUGGUCCUCCUGCCUGCCACAGGACCUUUGCCCAAGCUACACCCUCUGCUUGGAGGGCCCUUCCAGGUCUUUGCAUAGCCACCUCUUUCCUGUUAUUCAUUAUUCAGCCCAAAUAUCACCUCUUCAGAUAGAGACUCUGGCGUCCUAAUUAAAUAGCUACGUCCCCCACUAUGUUCCCACUAGCACAUAGUAGAUGCCUAAUACACAUGAAUUAAAAGAAGCAAACAGAAUGCCUUCAGAGUUAAACUAGUAAAUCAAUCCAUAAUGAGGUAAGUAAGAAAGCUUUCAAAAGUGAAAAAUAAACUACAAUUAGUGCCUAAAGAUCUUUCUCUGGUGAAGUGAGCAGAGUAUAGGUCCAGACCAAGUGGCAGGGAAUUAGGGAGUAAAAAUAUUGACAAAGCUAUUGCUGAAGCACCUUCCAAACAAAUGGCAGUUGCUUAUGCCACCACCAGCAGCACAUGCAUGUGCUGGGUUCCCCAUCCUGAUGAUGAAAUGUGGGAUCAAACUUACAAAUAUUUAUCAAUUUUAUGAGUAAAAGCACCUUGUUUUGAUUUUCAUUUCUUUAAUUAUGAGUAUGCAUUGAAUAUCUUUUCAUUUGCUUAUUAACCAGUUGUAUUUCUUUUCCUGUCAUAAACCUUUACCAUUAUUUAGUUUUAUAUAUAUUUUUAUCUUCUACUUAUUGAUGCAUAAGAACACUUUGAACCUAAACAAAAUACGUUAUCAAGCUAAAAAAUAUGCAUGUAUUCUUUGACCCAGGAAUUAUACAUCUAGGAAUUUAGCCCACAGACAGACUUGCCAUCAUGCACAAAAACAUAACUGUAGUUUUGUUGUAAUAGUCCUAGAUGAAAGCUGUUUAAAGGUUAAUAGGGAUAGGUUAUAUAAAUUAUGUCAUACAUAUAGACAGAACAUUAAACAGCUGAACAAAAGAUUACAGUAAAUCUCCAUGUUCAAAAUACAUUAAAAUAAAAACAAACUGGAGAAUAAUAGUUAUAGGUUGAUUCCACUUGUGUUUUUCAAAAUGUUAUUUUCUAAACAUAGAAAAUACCUAAAACGAAACUAAUAGUGGUUGGUAGUAACAGUAAUAAAAAGGGAGUGAGUGAGAAAAUUACCAACAUUCCAUUUUAAAGGUAAGUCCUCCUUUUAGGCUAAAAUGGGUUUUGGGGUUGUCGUUUCAUGUUUGUUUUUGUCUUGCUCUGUUCACUAGCACAGGCCUUGGAGAAGCAAAUCUCUUUUGUCUCUCCAUUUCUCUGCAGACACUCAAAGUUUCAGCAACUGUCCAGAGAUUCCUCCACUACCCAUUUCCUUAAAAAUAUAUGAUUUUUCUUCACAUUUUUCUAGAAUCGAUCUUUACUCAUCAAGAAGCAUUAUUUUUGCAUCAGCCCCUCCCCUUGCCACACAUUAAGCAUAGCUGGGGUGAGGCUGUGUGCAUCUUCUCAUGGGACUUGCCAGUCUGCAGACAAUAUUCUGCCACUGAAGACACAUUACAGGAAUUUUAAUUGCAUGAGAGCAUUUCCACAAAAAGCAACGGCUUACAGUGUGAAAACUGAGUGUGUAUAGCCUGGAGACCUUGGAAUUCUUGCCAGAUUUAAAGAGGUUUCCACUGGAGUAAGCUGUUCUGCAAGUAUCUGGCAUCUAAAACAACUGCUUUUUUGGUAGUCUCUGUCUCCACUUUCCAGCUGUGCAUCCCCAGAAAAGUAUGACUUACUGCAUCCAAGACACACUCCUCACACCCAGGACCUAUGCUCAAGCCAUUAAACCAUGCUGGUUCCUAAGAGCAUCUCUUCACCAGUAAACAAACCAAACACUCCAUCGUAUGUGAACAUGCCGGGGGGAAUGAAUGGGGGCCCCAACAUGGAAUAAGUGGUCUCUCUUGCUGGGAAUUAUACUAACAAAUACACUUGAGGCACAAUCACGGAAUCUCACAAAACCAAAGAGAUAAAGGCAUAAAAAAUGUUUUGUCUUCUUUUUUUCUUUUUUACUUGCAAGGCUUAAAGAAGACAAGAAUAGGUAAGUGGAACCUGUAUGGCAAAGUAUAACUUUGGAGUAGGUGUGGUUCAGGGUGUUGAAAUUAAAGCAGCCUUACCUCAUCUCCAACACCAUUUUCCAAUAGAUGCUUCCAAAUCUACUCUGAUUAGAGGGUUAGCCUCAUGUCCAAUGAAAGAAAACCACCCCUCCCUGGCAUCCACACCUCUCCUAGAUUUCCAAACACUGAGAAUAAGGCUGCCCAUCUCAUGUCUUACGCCAUCAUUGACAGGAGUAAGAGAGAGUCUUAGGAUGCUUCUGGAAAGACCUCCACAGCCCAUUGCUCUACAACAUUCCAAGCCUUGUCCUCAAUAUCUACUUUGAGAACAUUUAAGUAAACCUCAUUGUGCUGUUUCUUCAGAUGGAUAUCAGGUCCCACAAGAAGUCAGAACUCCUAAUUUUAUCUCUAAUCUCCCUGGACUCUUUCUUCAACUAUUUCUGUAGUUUCCUUUAUGUCAUCAUGCCCAAUUCAUGGAAUCUUUCAACACUGCCUUCUGGAAAUCAUGCUCAGUGAUUACCUUCUUCUAGUUCUUCUCAGAACUUUCCUUUCACUUCUUGCUCUAAAUGAACUGAGUCUUCUCUCAGGAAACUACUUGCCUUUCACCCAGCCCUCUGUGGUAGUGGCUGUUUUACCUUGCAAGACUCUUGCAAUAUCAGGCCUAGAAGUGUGGUAGGUGUCUUUCUGGUUUCAUAUUGUCUCCCUCCCACCACACGAACAACAACCACCACCACCCUCAUCUCUGAAUUUAAAACCAUUAGUCUUUAUUGAUCACUGUUUCAACUUGUUGCAGUCACCUACAGACCCCCCAGGUUAUUCUCCUAAUACCUUGAAAUUUUUAACUCCUGGCUCACUGCCAUCUCUUCAUCAUAUUUGGUGACUUUCUAACAUUUCUAACAUUCUAGACUCUCAGUUUCCUGAUGCCCAAUCCUCCAACUCUCAAAUCCUCUAUUCUUCCUAAACUACUUAUGCCAAGGUGACACCCAAGACUUGUCAUCACCAGCAAAUAUAACACCUCCAACAUUGCAAUUUCAAGCAUUGUUUCUUUCCAGCUCAUUCUUGCUAAGACCCCAACUCUAAGGAACUCUGGCUCCACUAGGAGCUAUUAGGCAUUAACCACAUAUUUUCAUGGUCCCUGGGUCCCCCACCUCACCUAGUUUGUGAUAGCCCAUCAUUAUAUUACACCUUUUCACAUAUUCUUAGCAAUCUUGUCUCAUAGUUUUCACCUGAAAAAUCCCUAGGCCAGAUUAAAUCCUAUCAGCUUUCUCUAUGCACCCACAGAGAAGGUCAUGACUGGAGAAAGCUACAAAGCUUGCUGACUAACAUCAUUUUAAAUUCCUAACCAGGUCCUCAAAGAGGUCCUUCUUUCUGCCCAUCAAUCACAAAACAUUUCCAUAAUCCAUCACUCUCCUAUUACCCUGAAAAAGUGGUCAUCAAACUUGAGACCUGAGACAGAGUAAGCCUACCACAGAUGUAUAUCUCAUGACUUUUUCUUUUCUCUUAGUCUUUUUUGUUUUGUUUUGUUUUGUUUUGUUUUUCAGGGCUGUACCUAUGGCAUAUGGAAGUUCCCAGGCUAGGGACUGAAUCAGAGCUGCGGCUGUCAGCCACAGCCACAGCCACACCAGAUCCAAGCUAUGUCUGCGACCUAUACCACAGCUUACGGCAACACCAGAUCCCCGACACAAUGAGCAAGGCCAAGGGUUGAACCUGUAUCCGCAUGGAUACUAGUUGGAUUAAUUUCCACUGCACCACAACAAGAAUUUCCACUCUCAGACUUCUAACACAUUCCCCAUCUUCACAUGCAAUGACUUUAUUUCUACGCACGCGCGCACACACACACACACACACACAAUAUCUGAAUAUAGUUUUUGAAGCUCCCAACACUAACCUCCUUUGUUAUCUGGAGUGGUGCCCUUGUGAUUUCUUCCUGCUUCAGUGGGUGAACUGUUUAUUCUCCUCUCUAUAGCCAACCUUUCACAUGUAUACCAGACUCCAUCUCCCCUCUCUAAGGUCACCCUAACUCCUGAAACUUCCUCUCCAAGCUUUCUCUGCAUCAUGAAUUUCUCCCUCUCUACGGGUCAUCUCUGUGGAUGUCAAGCAUCUUGAAGAAAACCCUCUCAUGACCCCACAUUUUCUUCUAUCUCCCCAUAUACAAGAACAUCCCAUGAAUAUAUGGUCUCCUUUCUAUAAAUUCACUGGGUACACUCCUGCCUCACAGCCUUUGACUUGAUAUUAUCUCUAACUGGAAGAUUCUACAAGGCUGACUUCAUCUUCUCCUUAAUGGUCUUCAUCAAGUGUCAUCUUCUCAUGACACUUUCCCUGACUCCAGCCCCUCUGUCCCUUACUGAUUACCAGUCCCCACCCCUCUUCUCUCAUUUAUUGCUUGGGAUUCAGCCUUAGUUGGAAUCAGGUAAUAAUUGACAUUAAUCAAACUAACAACAUCUUUCAGGUAAGGCCACUGAGAACUCUUUCUGACCACAUGUGAAUUGUCAAGGCCUUUCUAAAGAAAAUAUGUAUCUGCUAUUCCUUCAUCCUCUUUGUUUACAAAAUUUGUGAUGAGUCUUAAAACCAAGUGGCGGAGUUCCUGUCGUGGCGCAGUGGUUAACAAAUCUGGCUAGGAACCAUAAGGUUGCAGGUUCGAUCCCUGGCCUUGCUCAGUGGGUUAAGGAUCCAGCGUUGCUGUGAGCUGUGGUGUAGGUCGCAGAUGAGGUGUGGCUGUGGCUGUGGUGUAGGCCAGCAGCUGUAGCUCUGAUUAGACCCCCAGCCUGGGAACCUCCAUAUGCAGAGGGAGCAGCCCUAGAAAAGGCAAAAAG
This 6295-nucleotide long non-coding RNA is filed under the name Sus scrofa (pig). RNAcentral describes it as "lncRNA (ENSSSCG00000059238.1)". Lineage: Eukaryota; Metazoa; Chordata; Mammalia; Artiodactyla; Suidae. The record is from RNAcentral.